GACGAACGCUGGCGGCGUGCUUAACACAUGCAAGUCGAACGGAAAGGCCACUGCUUGCAGUGGUACUCGAGUGGCGAACGGGUGAGUAACACGUGGGUGAUCUGCCCUGUACUUUGGGAUAAGCCUGGGAAACUGGGUCUAAUACCGGAUAGGACCACCGUUUAGUGUCGGUGGUGGAAAGCUUUUGCGGUACGGGAUGAGCUCGCGGCCUAUCAGCUUGUUGGUGGGGUAAUGGCCUACCAAGGCGUCGACGGGUAGCGGCCUGAGAGGGUGGACGGCCACAUUGGGACUGAGAUACGGCCCAG
Molecule: ribosomal RNA, 305 nt
Filed under: uncultured bacterium
Lineage: Bacteria
Description: bacterial SSU rRNA
Rfam family: Bacterial small subunit ribosomal RNA
Source: RNAcentral